RNAcentral lists this transfer RNA (71 nucleotides) under Ovis aries (sheep). It matches the Rfam family "tRNA". Rfam says of the family: Transfer RNA (tRNA) molecules are approximately 80 nucleotides in length. Their secondary structure includes four short double-helical elements and three loops (D, anti-codon, and T loops). Further hydrogen bonds mediate the characteristic L-shaped molecular structure. tRNAs have two regions of fundamental functional importance: the anti-codon, which is responsible for specific mRNA codon recognition, and the 3' end, to which the tRNAs corresponding amino acid is attached (by aminoacyl-tRNA synthetases). tRNAs cope with the degeneracy of the genetic code in two manners: having more than one tRNA (with a specific anti-codon) for a particular amino acid; and 'wobble' base-pairing, i.e. permitting non-standard base-pairing at the 3rd anti-codon position. The record is from Rfam by way of RNAcentral. Lineage: Eukaryota; Metazoa; Chordata; Mammalia; Artiodactyla; Bovidae.
CCCUGGCGCUCUAGUGGUUAAGGCUCUGAACUUCCAAUUCAGGGGGUGAGGGUUCAAUCCUUCGUCAGGGA